UGACAAAUACCGGAACUCAGAUGUUGCC
Molecule: non-coding RNA, 28 nt
Filed under: Mus musculus (house mouse)
Lineage: Eukaryota; Metazoa; Chordata; Mammalia; Rodentia; Muridae
Source: RNAcentral